UACGUAGGGGGCAAGCGUUGUCCGGAUUUAUUGGGCGUAAAGAGCGUGUAGGCGGCCUGACAAGUCUGCUGUGAAAACUCGAGGCUCAACCUCGAGAUGUCGGCGGAAACCAUCUGGCUAGAGUCCGGAAGAGGAGAAUGGAAUUCCCGGUGUAGCGGUGAAAUGCGCAGAUAUCGGGAAGAACACCCGUGGCGAAGGCGGUUCUCUGGGACGGUACUGACGCUGAGACGCGAAAGCGUGGGGAGCGAACAGG
Molecule: ribosomal RNA, 253 nt
Filed under: uncultured bacterium
Lineage: Bacteria
Description: partial 16S ribosomal RNA
Rfam family: Bacterial small subunit ribosomal RNA
Source: RNAcentral